UUUACAGUUUAAUUCAUUUCAGAAAUAUUUUUAGAGUAUUUCUCUUUGUCUGUCUUGGACUCUUGGGGGCAUCCCAUGAAAAAGAAAAAGAAAGAAAGAAGGAAAAUCAGAACAAAAAUUUCUUUCAAAAAUUAGUUAAAGUCAUGGAAGACGGCAGCUCAAACAGUUCCUCAGCAAAGGGAUCGGAGUUGGAAGCCCUGCAGAAGGAGCAUGAGGAAAAAAGUUCGAAGAUUCAAGAGCUCAAGAGACAAAUUGAAGCAACUAAGCAUCUUCUGGAAAAUAAGAAGG
Alnus glutinosa is the source of this 288-nucleotide long non-coding RNA. RefSeq lists it as uncharacterized. The record is from RefSeq and is a predicted model, not a curated record. The transcript is spliced from 3 exons. Lineage: Eukaryota; Viridiplantae; Streptophyta; Magnoliopsida; Fagales; Betulaceae.